Molecule: ribosomal RNA, 128 nt
Filed under: Chelonoidis abingdonii (Abingdon island giant tortoise)
Lineage: Eukaryota; Metazoa; Chordata; Testudines; Testudinidae
Source: RNAcentral
ACUGUUUGUGCAAUUUCUAUGUUUAGUCUUGUGCUCUGAUACAUUCAUAUCUCAAAAGCUAAGUAUGGUUGGGCUAAAUAAUAAUUAGAUGGGAGACCUCCAAAAAACACCUAGAGCUACAGGAAGUC